UUGAACGCUGGCGGCAGGCCUAACACAUGCAAGUCGAACGGUAACAGGAAGAAGCUUGCUUCUUUGCUGACGAGUGGCGGACGGGUGAGUAAUGUCUGGGAAACUGCCUGAUGGAGGGGGAUAACUACUGGAAACGGUAGCUAAUACCGCAUAAUGUCGCAAGACCAAAGAGGGGGCCCUCCGGGCCCUUUGCCAUCGGAUGUGCCCAGAUGGGAUUAGCUAGUAGGUGGGGUAACGGCUCACCUAGGCGACGAUCCCUAGCUGGUCUGAGAGGAUGACCAGCCACACUGGAACUGAGACACGGUCCAGACUCCUACGGGAGGCAGCAGUGGGGAAUAUUGCACAAUGGGCGCAAGCCUGAUGCAGCUAUGCCGCGUGUAUGAAGAAGGCCUUCGGGUUGUAAAGUACUUUCAGCGGGGAGGAAGGGAGUAAAGUUAAUACCUUUGCUCAUUGACGUUACCCGCAGAAGAAGCACCGGCUAACUCCGUG
RNAcentral lists this ribosomal RNA (489 nucleotides) under uncultured bacterium. Its description in RNAcentral is "partial 16S ribosomal RNA". It matches the Rfam family "Bacterial small subunit ribosomal RNA", at positions 30 to 507 of the family's 1533-position model. The record is from RNAcentral.